UCGUUUCGUUCUUUUUUCAGUUUUUGGCCACAUGGUUUUUUUAAUCAAAACUAUUAAAAAAAUGUUUUUAACCCUUUGUUUAGCUCAGCUGGUUACUUCUAUUCUAAGCUUUACUAACUGUUGAAUGUGUGAUUUUAGUGUGAAAAAUGGGCUUAAGUUAUUUGAAUAUUGUCAUAUAAAAUGUACUUUUUUUAAUUGCCCUUGCAAAUCAGGAAAAAUUAUAGUUCCAAGCAUUUUGAAGUGAGAUCGGCUAUUGUCGUUUUGUUAUUUUUUCAGUUUUUUUGCCACAUGGUUUUGUUAAUCAAAACUAUUAAAAACUGUAUUUAACCCUUUGUUUAGCUCAGCUGGUUACUUCUAUUCUGAUAUUUACUAACUGUUGAAUGUGUGAUUUUAGUGUGAAAAAUGGGCUUAAGUUAUUUGAGUAUUGUCGUAUAAAAUGUACUUUUUGUAACUGCCCUUACAAAUCAGGAAAAAAUUAUAGUUCCAAGCAUUUUGAAGUGAGAUC
This 505-nucleotide long non-coding RNA is filed under the name Triticum aestivum (bread wheat). RNAcentral's name for it is "long non-coding RNA (TAES_LNC012644)". The record is from RNAcentral. Lineage: Eukaryota; Viridiplantae; Streptophyta; Magnoliopsida; Poales; Poaceae.